RNAcentral lists this ribosomal RNA (460 nucleotides) under uncultured bacterium. RNAcentral describes it as "partial 16S ribosomal RNA". It matches the Rfam family "Bacterial small subunit ribosomal RNA", at positions 338 to 795 of the family's 1533-position model. The record is from RNAcentral.
CCUACGGGAGGCAGCAGUGAGGAAUAUUGGUCAAUGGGCGCGAGCCUGAACCAGCCAAGUAGCGUGAAGGAUGACUGCCCUACGGGUUGUAAACUUCUUUUAUAAAGGAAUCAAGUGAGGCACGUGUGCCUUUUUGUAUGUACUUUAUGAAUAAGGAUCGGCUAACUCCGUGACAGCAGCCGCGGUAAUACGGAGGAUCCGAGCGUUAUCCGGAUUUAGUGGGUUUAAAGGGAGCGUAGAUGGUUUGUUAAGUCAGUUGUGAAAGUUUGCGGCUUAACCGUAAAAUUGCAAUUGAUACUGGCAGUCUUGAGUACAGUUGAGGUGGGCGGAAUUCGUGGUGUAGCGGUGAAAUGCUUAGAUAUCACGAAGAACUCCGAUUGCGAAGGCAGCUUACUAAACUGCCACUGACAUUGAUGCUCGAAAGUGUGGGGAUCAAACAGGAUUAGAUACCCUGGUAGUC